This 496-nucleotide ribosomal RNA is filed under the name uncultured bacterium. RNAcentral's name for it is "partial 16S ribosomal RNA". It matches the Rfam family "Bacterial small subunit ribosomal RNA", at positions 28 to 506 of the family's 1533-position model. The record is from RNAcentral.
GAUGAACGCUGGCGGCGUGCCUAAUACAUGCAAGUCGAGCGAACGGACGAGAAGCUUGCUUCUCUGAUGUUAGCGGCGGACGGGUGAGUAACACGUGGAUAACCUACCUAUAAGACUGGGAUAACUUCGGGAAACCGGAGCUAAUACCGGAUGAUAUUUUGAACCGCAUGGUUCAAAAGUGAAAGACGGUCUUGCUGUCACUUAUAGAUGGAUCCGCGCUGCAUUAGCUAGUUGGUAAGGUAACGGCUUACCAAGGCAACGAUGCAUAGCCGACCUGAGAGGGUGAUCGGCCACACUGGAACUGAGACCCGGUCCAAAACCCUACGGGAGGCAGCAGGAGGGAAUCUUCCGCAAUGGGCGAAAGCCUGACGGAGCAACGCCGGGGGAGUGAUGAAGGUCUUCGGAUCGUAAAACGCUUUUAUUAGGGAAAAAAAAAUGUGUAAGUAACUGGGAACAUCUUGACGGUACCAAAUCAGAAAGCCACGGCUAACUACGU